This 2369-nucleotide long non-coding RNA is filed under the name Paramuricea clavata. Lineage: Eukaryota; Metazoa; Cnidaria; Anthozoa; Malacalcyonacea; Plexauridae. The record is from RNAcentral.
CUAAAACCAAUCUCUAGACAAAUGCAAACAAAUUAGCCAAUUUAUAGCUCAUGAGAAUGGUUUCGGACGCGUCCAAAACCAACCCUGCGAGAAAAUGCAAAUCAAUUGACCAAUAUGUCCAAAACUAUCCUGGGGAAAUGCAAACCAAUUCGCUGAUUUUAGCAAAAAAUCCCCAGGAAAUGAAAACAAAUCAGCCGAUUUUAGUGCUUUUGAAAAUGGUUUUAGAUGCGUCCAAAACCAAUCCCUAGACAAAUUUGCCAAUGUAUAGCUCAUCAGAAUGGUUUUGGAUGCGUCGAAAACCAACCCUGCAGGAAAAUGCAAUUCAAUUCACCAAUUUUAGCGCUAAUGAAAAUGGUUUUGGAUGCAUCCAAAACCAAUGCUUAGACAAAUGCAAACAAAUUAGCUAAUUUAUAGCUCAUGAGAAUAGUUUCGGAUGCGUCCAAAACCAACCCUGCAAGAUAAUGCAAAUCAAUUGACCAAUAUGUCCAAAACUAUCCUGGAGAAAUGCAAACCAAUUCGCUGAUUUUAGCAAAAAAUCCCCAGACAAAUCAGCCGAUUUUAGUGCAUUUGGAAAUGGUUUUAGAUGCAUCCAAAACCAAUCUCUAGGCAAAAGCCAACAAAUUAGCCAAUUUAAAGCUCAUGAGAAUGGUUUUGGAUGCGUCCAAAACCAACCCUGCAGGAAAAUGCAAAUCAAUUCACCAAUUUUAGCGCUAAUGAAAAUGGUUUUGGAUGCAUCUAAAACCAAUCCCUAGACAAAUGCAAACAAAUUAGCCAAUUUAUAGCUCAUGAGAAUGGUUUUGGACGCGUCCAAAACCAACCCUGCGAGAAAAUGCAAAUCAAUUGACCAAUAUGUCCAAAACUAUCCUGGAGAAAUGGAAACCAAUUCGCCGAUUUUAGCAAAAAAUCCCCAGACAAAUCAGCCGAUUUUAGUGCAUUUGGAAAUGGUUUUAGAUGCAUCCAAAACCAAUCUCUAGGCAAAAGCGAACAAAUUAGCCAAUUUAAAGCUCAUGAGAAUGGUUUUGGAUGCGUCCAAAACCAACCCUGCAGGAAAAUGCAAAUCAAUUGACCAAUAUGUCCAAAACUAUCCUGGAGAAAUGGAAACCAAUUCGCUGGUUUUAGCAAAAAAUCCUCAGACAAAUCAGCCGAUUUUAGCGCUUAUGGAAAUGGUUUUGGAUGCGCCAAAACCAAUGCUUAGACAAAUGCAAACAAAUUAGCUAAUUUAUAGCUCAUGACAAUGGUUUCGGAUGCGUCCAAAACCAACCCUGCGAGAUAAUGCAAAUCAAUUGACCAAUAUGUCCAAAACUAUCCUGGAGAAAUGCAAACCAAUUCGCUGAUUUUAGCAAAAAAUCCCCAGACAAAUCAGCCGAUUUUAGUGCAUUUGGAAAUGGUUUUAGAUGCAUCCAAAACCAAUCUCUAGACAAAAGCGAACAAAUUAGCCAAUUUAAAGCUCAUGAGAAUGGUUUUGGAUGCAUCCAAAACCAACCCUGCAGGAAAAUGCAAAUCAAUUCACCAAUUUUAGCGCUAAUGAAAAUGGUUUUGGAUGCAUCUAAAACCAAUCCCUAGACAAAUGCAAACAAAUUAACCAAUUUAUAGCUUAUGAGAAUGGUUUUGGACGCGUCCAAAACCAACCCCUGCGAGAAAAUGCAAAUCAAUUGACCAAUAUGUCCAAAACUAUCCUGGAGAAAUGGAAACCAAUUCGCUGAUUUUAGCAAAAAAUCCCCAGACAAAUCAGCCGAUUUUAGUGCAUUUGGAAAUGGUUUUGGAUGCGUCCAAAACCAAUGCUUAGACAAAUGCAAACAAAUUAGCUAAUUUAUAGCUCAUGAGAAUGGUUUCGGAUGCGUCCAAAACCAACCCUGCGAGAUAAUGCAAAUCAAUUGACCAAUAUGUCCAAACUAUCCUGGAGAAAUGGAAACCAAUUCGCUGAUUUUAGCAAAAAAUCCCCAGACAAAUCAGCCGAUUUUAGCGCUUAUGGAAAUGGUUUUGGAUGCGUCCAAAACCAAUGCUUAGACAAAUGCAAACAAAUUAGCUAAUUUAUAGCUCAUGAGAAUGGUUUCGGAUGCGUCCAAAACCAACCCUGCGAGAUAAUGCAAAUCAAUUGACCAAUAUGUCCAAAACUAUCCUGGAGAAAUGGAAACCAAUUCGCUGAUUUUAGCAAAAAAUUCCCAGACAAAUCAGCCGAUUUUAGCGCUUAUGGAAAUGGUUUUGGAUGCUUCCAAAACCAAUCUCUUGGAUGCAUCCCAAACCAUUUUAAAUCGGUAAAUUGAUGUCCAUUUUAUUUUGGAUCGGUUUUGGACGCAUCCAGAACCAUCCUCAUGAGCUAUAAAUUGGCUAAUUUGUUUGCAUUUGUCUAGGGAUUGGUUCUGGACGCA